UGAGUAAUACGUGAGAAUCUGCCCUUAGGAGAAGAAUAACUGCUGGAAACGGUUGCUAAAUCUUCAUAUGUCGAGAGAUGAAAUAGCUUAAGCUGCCUAAGGAUGAGCUCACGCCUGAUUAGCUUGUUGGUGAGGUAAUGGCUCACCAAGGCCACGAUCAGUAGCUGGUUUGAGAGAACGACCAGCCACACUGGGACUGAGACACGGCCCAGACUCCUCCGGGAGGCAGCAGUGAGGAAUUUUCCGCAAUGGGCGAAAGCCUGACGGAGCAAUACCGCGUGAGGGAUGAAGGAUUUUGGUCUGUAAACCUCUUUUCUCAAGAAAGAAGUUCUGACGGUACUUGAGGAAUAAGCAUCGGCUAACUCCGUGCCAGCAGCCGCGGUAAUACGGGGGAUGCAAGCGUUAUCCGGAAUGAUUGGGCGUAAAGCGCCUGUAGGUUGUUUAUUAAGUCCGUUGUUAAAGCCUAGGGCUCAACCCUAGAAAAGCAAUGGAAACUAGUAGACUAGAGUAUGGCAGGGGUAGAGGGAAUUUCUAGUGUAGCGGUGAAAUGCGUAGAUAUUAGAAAGAACACCGGUGGCGAAAGCGCUCUACUGGACCAUUACUGACACUCAGAGGCGAAAGCUAGGGUAGCAAAAGGGAUUAGAUACCCCUGUAGUCCUAGCCGUAAACGAUGGAUACUAGAUGUUGUGCAUUAUGUACAGUAUCGUAGCUAACGCGUUAAGUAUCCCGCCUGGGGAGUACGCUCGCAAGGGUGAAACUCAAAGGAAUUGACGG
RNAcentral lists this ribosomal RNA (774 nucleotides) under uncultured cyanobacterium. RNAcentral describes it as "bacterial SSU rRNA". It matches the Rfam family "Bacterial small subunit ribosomal RNA", at positions 107 to 916 of the family's 1533-position model. Lineage: Bacteria; Bacillati; Cyanobacteriota. The record is from RNAcentral.